GGGCCCGCACAAGCGGUGGAGUAUGUGGUUUAAUUCGAUGCAACGCGAAGAACCUUACCAGGGUUUGACAUCCUGCGAAUCUCUUGGAAACAGGAGAGUGCCUUCGGGAACGCAGUGACAGGUGGUGCAUGGCUGUCGUCAGCUCGUGUCGUGAGAUGUUGGGUUAAGUCCCGCAACGAGCGCAACCCACGUCUUUAGUUGCCAGCAUUUAGUUGGGCACUCUAGAGAGACUGCCGGUGAUAAACCGGAGGAAGGUGUGGAUGACGUCAAGUCAUCAUGGCCCUUACGAGUAGGGCUACACACGUGCUACAAUGGCGCAUACAGAGGGCGGCCAACUUGCGAGAGUGAGCGAAUCCCAUAAACCGUGGCUCAGUUCAGAUCGUAGGCUGCAACUCGCCUACGUGAAGGAGGAAUCGCUAGUAAUCGCAGGU
RNAcentral lists this ribosomal RNA (431 nucleotides) under uncultured bacterium. RNAcentral describes it as "bacterial SSU rRNA". It matches the Rfam family "Bacterial small subunit ribosomal RNA", at positions 917 to 1349 of the family's 1533-position model. The record is from RNAcentral.